GCUCCUAUCGUCUAGAGGCCUAGGACGGAGCCCUCUCAAGGCUUAAACCCCGGUUCGAAUCCGGGUAGGAGCGCCA
Molecule: transfer RNA, 76 nt
Filed under: Solimonas aquatica
Lineage: Bacteria; Pseudomonadati; Pseudomonadota; Gammaproteobacteria; Nevskiales; Nevskiaceae
Also listed under: 2 other names
Description: tRNA_Glu_CTC
Rfam family: tRNA
About the family: Transfer RNA (tRNA) molecules are approximately 80 nucleotides in length. Their secondary structure includes four short double-helical elements and three loops (D, anti-codon, and T loops). Further hydrogen bonds mediate the characteristic L-shaped molecular structure. tRNAs have two regions of fundamental functional importance: the anti-codon, which is responsible for specific mRNA codon recognition, and the 3' end, to which the tRNAs corresponding amino acid is attached (by aminoacyl-tRNA synthetases). tRNAs cope with the degeneracy of the genetic code in two manners: having more than one tRNA (with a specific anti-codon) for a particular amino acid; and 'wobble' base-pairing, i.e. permitting non-standard base-pairing at the 3rd anti-codon position.
Source: RNAcentral